RNAcentral lists this small nucleolar RNA (87 nucleotides) under Salmo trutta (river trout). RNAcentral's name for it is "Small nucleolar RNA SNORA5 (ENSSTUG00000040534.1)". It matches the Rfam family "Small nucleolar RNA SNORA5". Rfam says of the family: ACA5 is a member of the H/ACA class of snoRNA that guide the sites of modification of uridines to pseudouridines. Lineage: Eukaryota; Metazoa; Chordata; Actinopteri; Salmoniformes; Salmonidae. The record is from Rfam by way of RNAcentral.
UUCAGCCUUGUCAAAUUCGCUGCUUCCUCUACAAUGGACCGCACUGGCCCAAAUGGCUGCCACAGUGAACCUGUAGUUCAGACAAUA